Small nuclear RNA from Pipistrellus kuhlii (Kuhl's pipistrelle), 107 nucleotides. The record is from RefSeq and is a predicted model, not a curated record. NCBI's taxonomy places the organism in Eukaryota, Metazoa, Chordata, Mammalia, Chiroptera, Vespertilionidae.
GUGUUGGCUUCAGCAGCACAUAUACUAAAAUUGGAACAAUCCAGAGAAGAUUGGCAUGGUCCCUGGGCAAGGAUGACAUGCAAAUUUGUGAAGAGUUCCAUCUUUAA